RNAcentral lists this microRNA (21 nucleotides) under Glycine max (soybean). RNAcentral describes it as "gma-miR5761b". Lineage: Eukaryota; Viridiplantae; Streptophyta; Magnoliopsida; Fabales; Fabaceae. The record is from miRBase by way of RNAcentral.
UUUUGUGUCGUGAAGCUUUUG